GCCAACAUCCCAGUUGAUGUCACAGCCAACAGCCUGCAUCAAGUGCCUGACACGAGCCUUGGAAGAGGCGGCAAGGGUGGCAGUUCAGGGACAGACUGCCUGGUCUGGCGUUCUGAUUUGCCGAAGGUAGUAAGCAACUAUCUCUGUGACCUUGGACAAGGUACUGAACUGCAUCUCUGUAAAAUGGGGAGAAUAAUCAUUCUACUUCAUAGGAUUGUUAUACACUAUAAGCGCUAACAUAUGCACAACCCUGAGACCUGAGCCUGGCUCACAAUAAGGGCUCUGAGUUUGCUAUUGUUAUUGUUGUUGUUGAUUAUUAUCGUUGUUGUUGUUAUUAUUGUUAUUAGAAAGACUCCACUUUGUCAGGCUGCUCUCUCUCCAUCCUGUUGCCCUCUCCAGGUGCCUAUACAGAAUCAGCCUUUGUGCUGCUCAUUUACAAAUAGCUGCCUGGUGUCUCCCCUCAUCUCCACUCCUCUGGAUUCCAGAACUUCCUACACAGGAGCCCAGCCCUGGACAGUGAAGGUGACCCAUGGAGACUGCAUCAUGCCUGUCAGGGUCCUGUUGGUUCAGCGGCUGGGGAGGCAGCGCCCUGCUGGGAGCGAUCACAUCCCAUGAAGAUGGAUGGCUUUCUCCGUCCCGGCGACACUCUAACUGCGAGAGAUGGGGGAACCUGCUGCAAGAGGGAAGGGGCAGUUUGUAUUAAGUGGCCACUGGGCUCAGUGGGGAAGUAUGAGGGGGGCAUGGAGGCUUAUUUCACUGUUUCAAUAACACCAGCCUUGCAGACUGACAAGACUUCUCCCCUCGGAGAGCUAACUGCUCAGCUGUCCACGUGUUUCUUUGCACACUGGUAAAGCCCAAAAUGCAUUACCGGCAUGCAUUUUGGAAUCAGCUGGCUUGUGAAUAAGUACUUGCUUUGCCGUUUCCUUGGCUGCUAAAUUUGAACUCACUAUUUAACUUCCCUCUGGUCUCUGUUUCUUAAUGAGAUAAUAAUAUCCACCUUGUUAAGUUACGCUGUGAAGUCUGAGAGACCUGCAUGUGAGGCCCUAAGAGAGGCUGGAGAGCAGGGGUGCCAAACGUGUUCAGUAAUGGGCCAGCAGAUCAAUCUUUUGGGCUCUGUGGUCCAUAAGAUCUCUGUUGCAGAUACUCAACUCUGCCAGUGUAGCCCCAAAGCAGCCAUAGGCAACAGAUACAUAAUCAGGCAUGGUUGUGUUCUAAUAAAACUUUAUAUAAAAAGCAGGCAACGGUGAGAUUUUGCCUAUGGGUUGUAAUUUGUAAGCCCUGGACUAAAGCCUAGUCCCCAAGAGCAGGGGCCAUGGAUCCUGGCUGCACCUGGGUUUAGAUCCCAGCUCUGACACUCACAAGCUGUGUGAGCUUUCUUCACCUGCUGGCAGUUGUAAGAAUUUUGUGAGUCACACAUUGAUAGGCCAAGGACUUGCAAUGGUGUCUAGGAAACGUUAAACACAACUUAAGUGUUUGCUCUCAUUUUCAUUAUUACGGAGUGAGUAUAAAACAUGGUCCCAGGCCAGGCGCAGUGGCUCAUGCCU
This 1544-nucleotide long non-coding RNA is filed under the name Pongo abelii (Sumatran orangutan). RNAcentral's name for it is "lincRNA". Lineage: Eukaryota; Metazoa; Chordata; Mammalia; Primates; Hominidae. The record is from RNAcentral.